This 555-nucleotide ribosomal RNA is filed under the name uncultured bacterium. RNAcentral describes it as "partial 16S ribosomal RNA". It matches the Rfam family "Bacterial small subunit ribosomal RNA", at positions 355 to 907 of the family's 1533-position model. The record is from RNAcentral.
UAAGGAAUAUUGGUCAAUGGACGAAAGUCUGAACCAGCCAUGCCGCGUGGAGGAUGAAGGUCCUCUGGAUUGUAAACUUCUUUUAUCUGGGACGAAAAAAGGUCUUUCUAGAUCGUCUGACGGUACCAGAUGAAUAAGCACCGGCUAACUCCGUGCCAGCAGCCGCGGUAAUACGGAGGGUGCAAGCGUUAUCCGGAUUCACUGGGUUUAAAGGGUGCGUAGGUGGGUUGGUAAGUCAGUGGUGAAAUCUUCGAGCUUAACUCGGAAACUGCCAUUGAUACUAUCAGUCUUGAAUAUUGUGGAGGUUAGCGGAAUAUGUCAUGUAGCGGUGAAAUGCUUAGAUAUGACAUAGAACACCAAUUGCGAAGGCAGCUGGCUACACAUAUAUUGACACUGAGGCACGAAAGCGUGGGGAUCAAACAGGAUUAGAUACCCUGGUAGUCCACGCCCUAAACUAUGGAUACUCGACAUACGCGAUACACUGUGUGUGUCUGAGCGAAAGCAUUAAGUAUCCCCACCCUGGGGAAGUACGAUCGCAAGAUUGAAACUUAAAUG